UAGAGUUUGAUCCUGGCUCAGAUUGAACGCUGGCGGUAUGCUUAACACAUGCAAGUCGAACGGAAACGAUACUAGCUUGCUAGUAGGCGUCGAGUGGCGGACGGGUGAGUAACGCGUAGGAAUCUACCAGAUAGUGGGGGAUAGCCCGGAGAAAUUCGGAUUAAUACCGCAUAAUCUCUACGGAGUAAAGGAGGCCUCUAUUUAUAUGCUUUCGCUAUCUGAUGAGCCUGCGUAAGAUUAGUUAGUUGGUGAGGUAAAAGCUCACCAAGGCGACGAUCUUUAGCUGGUCUGAGAGGAUGAUCAGCCACACUGGGACUGAGACACGGCCCAGACUCCUACGGGAGGCAGCAGUGGGGAAUAUUGGACAAUGGGGGCAACCCUGAUCCAGCAAUACCGCGUGUGUGAAGAAGGCCUGAGGGUUGUAAAGCACUUUCAAUUGUGAAGAAAAGUUAAUAGUUAAUAACUA
Molecule: ribosomal RNA, 466 nt
Filed under: uncultured marine bacterium
Lineage: Bacteria
Description: bacterial SSU rRNA
Rfam family: Bacterial small subunit ribosomal RNA
Source: RNAcentral